Molecule: microRNA, 22 nt
Filed under: Caenorhabditis elegans
Lineage: Eukaryota; Metazoa; Nematoda; Chromadorea; Rhabditida; Rhabditidae
Description: cel-miR-76-5p
Gene: cel-miR-76-5p
Source: miRBase by way of RNAcentral
UGGGCUUCACAAUAGUCGAAUA